CAUCUAGGCUGAUUCUCACAUGGGUUCUUCUAUUCCUAUACUUAUUUUCAUCUUUGUUGCUAUUUCCUUUAUAGAUUUCAUUGUAAACAUUAACAUGAGUGAGUAGUUUGUUAAGAUUUCAGAGUUUGGAUGUAAUACUCUGUUUUUAACAUGGUAUUGAUCUAAUUUAAUUUAAUGUAUUGGGUAUUUAUGCUUUGAUUCAUUUCUUUGUGCCUUAUUUAUGUUUUAGUUUAGUUUCCUUUAUUGCCAUUAUUUUGCACUUAACUAAGUUUUUCUUGUCUUUUCGGGUUAAUUUCAGAUAUAAUAUAGCGUUGGAUAAGAGUAUUAGCUAUUCUGGAAAUCAUUGGAGUAAUGAAAGAGAAGUGGAAGAAAAAUCU
Molecule: unclassified non-coding RNA, 377 nt
Filed under: Hevea brasiliensis (rubber tree)
Lineage: Eukaryota; Viridiplantae; Streptophyta; Magnoliopsida; Malpighiales; Euphorbiaceae
Source: RNAcentral